Molecule: ribosomal RNA, 330 nt
Filed under: uncultured fungus
Lineage: Eukaryota; Fungi
Description: partial small subunit ribosomal RNA
Rfam family: Eukaryotic small subunit ribosomal RNA
Source: RNAcentral
GCUUGUCUCAAAGAUUAAGCCAUGCAUGUCUUAGUGUAAAUAACUCUUAUGAAACUGCGAAUGGCUCAUUAAAUCAGUUAUCGUUUAUUUGAUGGUCCCUUACUACAUGGAUAACCGUAGUAAUUCUAGAGCUAAUACAUGCACAAAGGCCCGACUCACGAAGGGCUGUAUUUAUUAGAUUUAAAGCCGACAUCUUUUGGUGAUUCAUAAUAACUUUUCGAACCUCAUGCCUUUAUGGUGGAGGUGAUUCAUUCAAAUUUCUGCCCUAUCAACUUUCGAUGGUAGGAUAGAGGCCUACCAUGGAAAGUUGAUAGGGCAGAAAUUUGAAUG